AACGAACGCUGGCGGCAUGCCUAACACAUGCAAGUCGAACGAAGUCUUCGGACUUAGUGGCGCACGGGUGCGUAACGCGUGGGAAUCUGCCCUUGGGUGCGGAAUAACUUCUCGAAAGGGAUGCUAAUACCGCAUAAUAGUCGUAAGACCAAAGAUUUAUCGCCCAAAGGAUGAGCCCGCGUAAGAUUAGCUAGUUGGUGGGGUAAAAGCCUACCAAGGCGACGAUCUUUAGCUGGUCUGAGAGGAUGAUCAGCCACACUGGGACUGAGACACGGCCCAGACUCCUACGGAGGCAGCAGUGGGGAAUAUUGGACAAU
Molecule: ribosomal RNA, 317 nt
Filed under: uncultured bacterium
Lineage: Bacteria
Description: bacterial SSU rRNA
Rfam family: Bacterial small subunit ribosomal RNA
Source: RNAcentral